RNAcentral lists this unclassified non-coding RNA (316 nucleotides) under plant metagenome. RNAcentral's name for it is "partial contains 5.8S ribosomal RNA, internal transcribed spacer 2, and large subunit ribosomal RNA". The stretch from base 1 to 105 matches the Rfam family "5.8S ribosomal RNA", at positions 50 to 154 of the family's 154-position model. The record is from RNAcentral.
AAAAUGCGAUAAGUAAUGUGAAUUGCAGAAUUCAGUGAAUCAUCGAAUCUUUGAACGCACAUUGCGCCCGCCAGUAUUCUGGCGGGCAUGCCUGUUCGAGCGUCAUUUCAACCCUCAAGCCCCCGGGUUUGGUGUUUGGGAUCGGGCUGCGGUUCUGCCGCGGCCCGGCCCCGAAAUCUAGUGGCGGUCUCGCUGCAGCCUCCAUUGCGUAGUAGCUAACACCUCGCAACUGGAACGCGGCGCGGCCAAGCCGUUAAACCCCCCAACUUCUGAAUGUUGACCUCGGAUCAGGUAGGAAUACCCGCUGAACUUAAGC